UUUCCGUAGGCGAACCUGCGGAAGGAUCAUUAAUGAGUUGUCAUGGGGUUCGAUGCUGGCAGCCAAUUUUUGGAUGCAUGUGCUUGCCCUAACAAUCAUCUUCCAAACACCUGUGCACAUUUUUGAGGGAGUCUUGAGUUGGUUGCCGCUCUUGGGUGAUUUUCUCACAUUCCCUUAAAUCAUUAUACGCUAUUAACAAUGUUGAACGUGCUCUGUGCCGCAAGGCUAUUAAUAUAAUACAACUUUUAACAACGGAUCUCUUGGCUCUCACAUCGAUGAAGAACGCAGC
RNAcentral lists this unclassified non-coding RNA (289 nucleotides) under plant metagenome. RNAcentral's name for it is "partial contains small subunit ribosomal RNA, internal transcribed spacer 1, and 5.8S ribosomal RNA". The stretch from base 241 to 289 matches the Rfam family "5.8S ribosomal RNA", at positions 1 to 49 of the family's 154-position model. The record is from RNAcentral.